This 789-nucleotide ribosomal RNA is filed under the name uncultured bacterium. RNAcentral's name for it is "bacterial SSU rRNA". It matches the Rfam family "Bacterial small subunit ribosomal RNA", at positions 8 to 798 of the family's 1533-position model. The record is from RNAcentral.
AGAGUUUGAUCAUGGCUCAGGACGAACGCUGGCGGCGUGCUUAACACAUGCAAGUCGAACGGAAAGGCCCCUUCGGGGGUACUCGAGUGGCGAACGGGUGAGUAACACGUGGGUGAUCUGCCCUGCACUUUGGGAUAAGCCUGGGAAACUGGGUCUAAUACCGAAUAGGACCGCAUGCUUCAUGGUGUGUGGUGGAAAGCUUUUGCGGUGUGGGAUGGGCCCGCGGCCUAUCAGCUUGUUGGUGGGGUAAUGGCCUACCAAGGCGACGACGGGUAGCCGGCCUGAGAGGGUGUCCGGCCACACUGGGACUGAGAUACGGCCCAGACUCCUACGGGAGGCAGCAGUGGGGAAUAUUGCACAAUGGGCGCAAGCCUGAUGCAGCGACGCCGCGUGGGGGAUGACGGCCUUCGGGUUGUAAAUCUCUUUCAGUAUCGGCGAAGCUCCAGGAUUUUUCUUGGGGUGACGGUAGGUACAGAAGAAGCACCGGCCAACUACGUGCCAGCAGCCGCGGUAAUACGUAGGGUGCGAGCGUUGUCCGGAAUUACUGGGCGUAAAGAGCUCGUAGGUGGUUUGUCACGUUGUCCGUGAAAACUCACAGCUUAACUGUGGGCGUGCGGGCGAUACGGGCAGACUGGAGUACUGUAGGGGAGACUGGAAUUCCUGGUGUAGCGGUGGAAUGCGCAGAUAUCAGGAGGAACACCGGUGGCAAAGGCGGGUCUCUGGGCAGUAACUGACGCUGAGGAGCGAAAGCGUGGGGAGCGAACAGGAUUAGAUACCCUGGUAGUCCAA